This 1515-nucleotide ribosomal RNA is filed under the name Bacteroides fragilis str. 1007-1-F #8. RNAcentral's name for it is "bacterial SSU rRNA". It matches the Rfam family "Bacterial small subunit ribosomal RNA". The record is from RNAcentral. Lineage: Bacteria; Pseudomonadati; Bacteroidota; Bacteroidia; Bacteroidales; Bacteroidaceae.
GAGUUUGAUCCUGGCUCAGGAUGAACGCUAGCUACAGGCUUAACACAUGCAAGUCGAGGGGCAUCAGGAAGAAAGCUUGCUUUCUUUGCUGGCGACCGGCGCACGGGUGAGUAACACGUAUCCAACCUGCCCUUUACUCGGGGAUAGCCUUUCGAAAGAAAGAUUAAUACCCGAUAGCAUAAUGAUUCCGCAUGGUUUCAUUAUUAAAGGAUUCCGGUAAAGGAUGGGGAUGCGUUCCAUUAGGUUGUUGGUGAGGUAACGGCUCACCAAGCCUUCGAUGGAUAGGGGUUCUGAGAGGAAGGUCCCCCACAUUGGAACUGAGACACGGUCCAAACUCCUACGGGAGGCAGCAGUGAGGAAUAUUGGUCAAUGGGCGCUAGCCUGAACCAGCCAAGUAGCGUGAAGGAUGAAGGCUCUAUGGGUCGUAAACUUCUUUUAUAUAAGAAUAAAGUGCAGUAUGUAUACUGUUUUGUAUGUAUUAUAUGAAUAAGGAUCGGCUAACUCCGUGCCAGCAGCCGCGGUAAUACGGAGGAUCCGAGCGUUAUCCGGAUUUAUUGGGUUUAAAGGGAGCGUAGGUGGACUGGUAAGUCAGUUGUGAAAGUUUGCGGCUCAACCGUAAAAUUGCAGUUGAUACUGUCAGUCUUGAGUACAGUAGAGGUGGGCGGAAUUCGUGGUGUAGCGGUGAAAUGCUUAGAUAUCACGAAGAACUCCGAUUGCGAAGGCAGCUCACUGGACUGCAACUGACACUGAUGCUCGAAAGUGUGGGUAUCAAACAGGAUUAGAUACCCUGGUAGUCCACACAGUAAACGAUGAAUACUCGCUGUUUGCGAUAUACAGUAAGCGGCCAAGCGAAAGCAUUAAGUAUUCCACCUGGGGAGUACGCCGGCAACGGUGAAACUCAAAGGAAUUGACGGGGGCCCGCACAAGCGGAGGAACAUGUGGUUUAAUUCGAUGAUACGCGAGGAACCUUACCCGGGCUUAAAUUGCAGUGGAAUGAUGUGGAAACAUGUCAGUGAGCAAUCACCGCUGUGAAGGUGCUGCAUGGUUGUCGUCAGCUCGUGCCGUGAGGUGUCGGCUUAAGUGCCAUAACGAGCGCAACCCUUAUCUUCAGUUACUAACAGGUCAUGCUGAGGACUCUGGAGAGACUGCCGUCGUAAGAUGUGAGGAAGGUGGGGAUGACGUCAAAUCAGCACGGCCCUUACGUCCGGGGCUACACACGUGUUACAAUGGGGGGUACAGAAGGCAGCUAGCGGGUGACCGUAUGCUAAUCCCAAAAUCCUCUCUCAGUUCGGAUCGAAGUCUGCAACCCGACUUCGUGAAGCUGGAUUCGCUAGUAAUCGCGCAUCAGCCACGGCGCGGUGAAUACGUUCCCGGGCCUUGUACACACCGCCCGUCAAGCCAUGGGAGCCGGGGGUACCUGAAGUACGUAACCGCAAGGAUCGUCCUAGGGUAAAACUGGUGACUGGGGCUAAGUCGUAACAAGGUAGCCGUACCGGAAGGUGCGGCUGGAACCCC